GGAGGCGUCGCCUAGUCCGGUCUAUGGCGCCCGCCUGCUAAGCGGGUUGAGAGGUAAUACUCUCUCGCGGGUUCAAAUCCCGCCGCCUCCG
This 91-nucleotide transfer RNA is filed under the name Thermasporomyces composti. It matches the Rfam family "tRNA". Rfam says of the family: Transfer RNA (tRNA) molecules are approximately 80 nucleotides in length. The record is from Rfam by way of RNAcentral. Lineage: Bacteria; Bacillati; Actinomycetota; Actinomycetes; Propionibacteriales; Nocardioidaceae.